Aplysia californica (California sea hare) is the source of this 570-nucleotide long non-coding RNA. RefSeq lists it as uncharacterized. The record is from RefSeq and is a predicted model, not a curated record. The transcript has 4 exons. NCBI's taxonomy places the organism in Eukaryota, Metazoa, Mollusca, Gastropoda, Aplysiida, Aplysiidae.
UAGCAACACGAAGAAAAAUGGCAAAGCGGAAACAUUCUUAUCUGUUUCCCUCUGAUAGUGGGUUGUGUUUAUCUUGAACCUCAGCAGUUCCAGAAAGCGCUCUGUAGCUGAAAGUUACAGGUGAAGAAGCUUGAAUAUAGCUACGAUCAGUGUUUAAUUCCUUUUGAUUCCUCAUGACAAAAGCUAGUAAUGAGGUCUUUGUUGCGGUCAGCAAGAGAUGACCACAGAUCACAUGCUUGCGACACCUCUUCCUGAAUCCAGAGCUCACUGCCGACUGCUUUACGACGUGGGCAGGUGAAACAGCAGAGAUGAUAUACACCAGGACAAUUCCAGAUGUGCCUGUCAAAGUUUUCACACCAUCUCUCUCACAGUAAACCACGUAAUGGCCCCUAAGAUAAGCAGACUUUGGUCGGUGAGGUACCUUUCCUACUUUGAAGAACCAUUGAAGCCUGAAGCUAAAGACUAUUACAAAUAAGCCACGAACGUGUACCUAUUGUCAACGGCUUAAUGAUUCACCUGUCGUUUUUCAGUCUGUAGACUGAGACAGAGAUUAAAUCAUCAGUCAUUAUG